RNAcentral lists this transfer RNA (77 nucleotides) under Planctomycetota bacterium. Its description in RNAcentral is "Planctomycetes bacterium (freshwater metagenome) tRNA-Val". It matches the Rfam family "tRNA". From Rfam's summary of the family: Transfer RNA (tRNA) molecules are approximately 80 nucleotides in length. Their secondary structure includes four short double-helical elements and three loops (D, anti-codon, and T loops). The record is from RNAcentral. Lineage: Bacteria; Pseudomonadati; Planctomycetota.
GGGCGAUUAGCUCAGUUGGCUAGAGCGCUUGCUCGACACGCAAGAGGUCAGAGGUUCGAAUCCUCUAUCGCCCACCA